AUCAUCCUGUUUCUACAUUACAUUGCUGUAUCUAUUCUAUUCUACCUUGAUACCGUGUCAUAAUAAUAUUAUGCUGUGCUACAAAAUUUGUAAUGCUAUAUUUUGUUGGUGCUGGCUUUUGUGGAGCUCAAUCAGUGGGAGAAAGAGAGAGAGGGAAGAGGAGACCAGUACGCAGUGUGUUUGUUUUUAGAGAACCAUUCUCACUUAAAGAUAAUUGAUUGUAUAUAUGGCAACUUUUCUCUGAAUCUGAUGACUGACUUUGUGACUGACAAUAUUGAACCUUCGGCUGAUGGAGAUCAAUUCCUAGCCUGAACCCAUGUUCUGAAGUUGCUUGCAUUUGGAUUACCCAGCAGACACACAGAUUCCACAGAUGUGGGCCAGUCACAGAACACUAGGGCUUAUUCAUUUUAAAAGUUUCCAAUUUUCAAUUCAGUGCUCGGUACAUAAAAGACACUCCACAAAUAUCUUUUGGAUAAGUGAAUGAAUACAGAAAUGAAUGAAUAAUUAUGGUCGCUAUUUGUCCUCAGAAGGAAAGGUAAUUAUGAGACGAGUAAGUGUUGCACCAAAUCUAGGAGAAAUUUUAAAUAAAACAAUAAGCCUAAGAAAUAAACAAGAUUUUUUUUUCAUCCUAUGAGAGAUUUUGCAAGUUAGAUCUACUUUUGUUUGCUGAAGAAAACGCCAUCUUUGGGCAAAAACUGGAUAAAGUUGAGUAACUUUGUCCUUUAAUAAUUUGGAUAAGUUUGUGGAAAUUGGACGAGUCACAUAAUCUCCUUGUUUUCUUGUCCCCUGGACUAGGUGAUCUCUGAAGUCCCUUUCAGGUCAAAAGUAUCUAUGAAUCUAUUCAUUUAUAAAUGUGAUGCUUUGUGCUCAUUUUUUUUUUCUUGCAACAUUGGAAAAGUACACAAUCUUCAUUAUAAAACCAGGUCUGAGUCCAGAUUGAAAGGGCCCCAGGAAAGCGCAGAAUUCCAGGAGGUUUUGCAAGAAUAUCCUCUCAUUAAAGGAAUGCUCGUAAGAGGAAAAUAAGAGCUCUAUUAACAGAUUUCUCUACAGAAGAGCUGUAUGAAGGCCCCUUCAUGGAGCACAUGAAUCUUAGCAAGAAAAGCAUUCUCCUCUGCGGAAGUCUUGUUGAGCACAGAUCGGCAAACUGAAGCAUAAAAUGUUAAAUUUGCCCAAGAUUAUGGACCUAGUCAGCGUUUGAGCCAAACCUGAGCGAGAUAGUAUGGAUCCAGAAGCCUUGCUCUUAACCACUCUGCUGUGCUGCCGUCUCAGGAUAUUGUCUAGCUAUUGACGAAAGCUGAAAUAGACCAAGUCAUGAACAUUUACUGGGAGCCCACCAUGCUAAAUGCUGCUAGGGACUGAGAGGAGUGAAAUAAUGAGGACUUCACUGCUGCUCUUACCCAGCUAACCAAUAAGCAACUUGCUCCAGUUGGAAUGAAAAUGAGGGCUGGAAUCGAGGUUCUGGGGAGAGGGGAAGGUAGAAUUUGAAGAAUAGGAUUUUAAUAGAUAAAACAGAGAGCAUUUCAGGUUCAAGCAACAGCAUGGGUUUCAGGCUGCGCCUAAUAGGCCUGUCUGCACAGAUUGUGAGACAUGCGGUGGAGGGAUGAGGUGUGGCUCUUAGAAGGUUUGAAUGCUGUGCUAUGGAGUCUCAAUGUAAUGCUACAGGCAAUAAGGAGAAAUUUGGCUUUUACUUGGAAUAUAAUUCUGGAGAGGGCAUGGUGGGCUGUAAUCUAAGCAGGAGGAAUGAGAAAUUAAAUCAGGGCAGUUUCAGUGACAAGUGUGAAAAAGGAUGGCAUGGUGGAUGUUGUGAUAUGGUUCCCAGACCCUCUGAAAGAAUAAAGGUCUUAUGCUCCAAGUCACUGGGAGUGCUGCCGGCAGAGAGCCCUCAGCUGUCAAGCCCCUUUACCCAAGGUCACGCCGUCUUCCUGGGGAGGUUGGUAUCCAAUGAUUGACUACUGUGGGGGUAUAAAGGUCCCUAUCUAUCACCACAGCUCAGGACAGCUCUGAAGGAUCAUCCCAGCUUCAGAACUCCCUGCCUUGCAGUUGGACUUCUUUCUCGGCCCAAUCCUGCUUCCUUCCCUUCUCUUCAACAGAUUGUAUUCUAAGAGCACUCGCUCUAUAAUAAAUCUCCUCCAUGCUAAUCUCUGUUUUAAAGUCUGAAUCCUGGGAAACUUAAUCUGCUCCCAAUGGCUAUAUGGUGUGUUGUAGAAACAAAACCCACAGUUGGGCAUUUAGGCAGGGAUGUAGCAAGUGAAAGAGAAGGACAAGUCAAAGAAGAUGCCCAACCAAGGUAGUUAGAAGGAUGAUGGUCUAAGCUAGCCUGGCCUCUCCCCUGGACAACUAUAAAAGUCCCCUCAAUGACCUCCCUGUUUCUCUUUUUGUCCCCUACAAUCUGCUCUUCACACAUAGGCCAGAGGGAUCACGUACAGAAGAAAAGUCCUUAGCAUACCUAAAAUACUUUAUGUAAUCUGGCCCCCGAUACCUCCCAACCUCUCCAUGCUCCCCAUGUUCCAGCCACCCCAGCCUGCUUGCAGUUCUGGAACAUGUAAGCCAUGCACUAGUGGGUUCCCCAGAUAUUCCCAAGGCUCCAUCUCUCAUUCCAUUUACAUUUCUCUGCUCAACAACUCCUUCUCAAGGCGGCCUUCCCAAUUACCCCAUUUACAAUAGAAACCCCUGUCAUUUUCUAUCC
Equus caballus (horse) is the source of this 2686-nucleotide long non-coding RNA. The record is from Ensembl. NCBI's taxonomy places the organism in Eukaryota, Metazoa, Chordata, Mammalia, Perissodactyla, Equidae.